This 301-nucleotide ribosomal RNA is filed under the name uncultured bacterium. RNAcentral's name for it is "partial 16S ribosomal RNA". It matches the Rfam family "Bacterial small subunit ribosomal RNA", at positions 509 to 809 of the family's 1533-position model. The record is from RNAcentral.
CAGCCGCCGCGGUAAUACGUAGGUGGCAAGCGUUGUCCGGAAUUAUUGGGCGUAAAGGGCUCGCAGGCGGUUUCUUAAGUCUGAUGUGAAAGCCCCCGGCUCAACCGGGGAGGGUCAUUGGAAACUGGGAAACUUGAGUGCAGAAGAGGAGAGUGGAAUUCCACGUGUAGCGGUGAAAUGCGUAGAGAUGUGGAGGAACACCAGUGGCGAAGGCGACUCUCUGGUCUGUAACUGACGCUGAGGAGCGAGAGCGUGGGGAGCGAACAGGAUUAGAGACCCGUGUAGUCCCUGUCUCUUAUAA